GAAUAGUAAAUUCCGGCGACUUACACCAAAACGUUCACAACAAUGAUUAUAACAACUUUAAUGAAUAGAUUAUACCUCAAUGAUAGCCGGAAGAACCCGAAAAUGUGUUGGAAAUUCGUCAACUUUGGAGACUCGGUUCUCCCUGUACAGUACAAAGCAGCUUGUAAUUCUUGUACCAAAAGAAAGAGGACUUCACGACAAAUCUGCAGCCAUCGACUUUGCGUAAAUUCGGGUUGAAAGGAAGGAGUUAUCUUAAGUCAAAGUUUGAAGUUUUGAGAAGAAAAAAAAAAAGAAGAGAGAAGAAAACCAGAAGAAAAAAAAUAUUUCUAUUUAAACCCCACAGUUUUCUUUGUUCACCCAAUACUUAAAUCAUUAAGAGCUUGUCUGUAAUGUUUUUAGAGAAUAUUUCAGAAAAUGAAAACGAGAAAACGAAUUUGCAUUUUCAUGAUUUGAGAAUGCAUUUGGUAACUUAAUUAGAAUAUAGUCUCAAAGAACGAAAACAGUGAUAACGUGUCUGGUAACAUAUAAACAAUGAAAAAUGCAUAAUUUAACCACACAAAUAUAUAUGUUUUUUAAAGGUUGAAAUUAUUAUAAACAAUUGAAAAAAAUAUAAUUUAACAAGUAAAAAAUUCUAAUGUUUUUUAAAGGGUAAAAUUAUUUUUUCUAUUUUCUAUUUUCCUUUUUCUCAUCUUCCUUUCUUUCUCCCUUUUUUUCCUUUCUCUUUCUUUUUCUUCUUCCCAGGCCAUGUUUUUUUUUUCUUUCUUCCUCCUAUCCUAUGAUCGUUACUAAUGGCUGGUAGUAGUUGGUUGUUGAAUCAAAUUAAGACCAUCUUUUUGACUUGUUUGCUAUAUACGUAAGCUGUGUUACGUAAGUUGGAAUAAGCAAGUGUGAAGUCGUCGUCUCCGGGACCUUCAAAGUCCUUUUCAGCUACAUGUUUUAUAUCUGGAGUGAAGAAAAGAGUUAAUAAAAGCAUUAAUUGGGGAGGACGAAAGCACAUGGUAGGUUUGGAAGGACGGACGCCCGGUGUUUCUCUCCUCCACACAAUUAUUCUUCAGCAAUGCUAACCGAAAAAUUAAUAAGCGACUAAACUGGCUGCGUUGCUCUCCAGGAUUUGUGUAAUCAAUUGUAUAUGUAAUAUUCUUAUGUGUAUCAGAGCUUUCUAGGUUUAACAAACCCUAAACACCGAUCCUCUUUCUCUCUCUCUCUCUCUCUCUCUCUCUCUCUCUCUCUCUCUCUCUCUCUCUCUCUCUCUCUCUCUCUCCUAACUACGUUUGGGUCUGAGGUUUUAGUCUUAUUUUGAUAGACCAAUAUUUACUCUCGUAUGGAAAACUUGUGGUUGCGGAUAUCCUUGGGUUUUGAAUUUGAUGUAAUUUUGUUUUUGGUCUGUGUGUAUUUUAGCCCUUGCUUAACAUAAACGAAAAUAAAUAAAUAAACCUUCAUCAUCUGAACAUGAGAAAAAAGAUACCUCUGGGUCAUGGCUGGGACCUGUAUAACUUAUUUUGUCUCUCAGUUGACAAAAAAAGACUUUGACAUCAUGACAACAGCCUCUACACAAGUUUUAAUUUAUCAAAAUCAAAUAACUUACAAUAUUAUAAUUUGGCUAUAACAUAUUUGAAUAACACCAAAACACAUUGUUUCAAUGGCAAGUUAUGACGAUCUUAUAUAAAUAAAAUAUUCCAAAGAAAAUUAUAGAAAGCUAGGUUAUGUC
RNAcentral lists this long non-coding RNA (1708 nucleotides) under Prunus persica (peach). RNAcentral describes it as "long non-coding RNA (PPER_LNC000207)". Lineage: Eukaryota; Viridiplantae; Streptophyta; Magnoliopsida; Rosales; Rosaceae. The record is from RNAcentral.